CACGUAGGGGGCAAGCGUUGUCCGGAUUCAUUGGGCGUAAAGAGCUCGUAGGCGGUUUGUCGCGUCGGGAGUGAAAUCAUCUGGCUUAACUGGGUGCUUGCUUUCGAUACGGGCAGACUAGAGGUAUGCAGGGGAGAACGGAAUUCCUGGUGUAGCGGUGAAAUGCGCAGAUAUCAGGAGGAACACCGGUGGCGAAGGCGGGUCUCUGGGCCGAUACUGACGCUGAGGAGCGAAAGCGUGGGGAGCGAACAGG
RNAcentral lists this ribosomal RNA (253 nucleotides) under uncultured bacterium. Its description in RNAcentral is "partial 16S ribosomal RNA". It matches the Rfam family "Bacterial small subunit ribosomal RNA", at positions 524 to 776 of the family's 1533-position model. The record is from RNAcentral.